AUGCUUAGUUUGACUGUACCCAACAAUCCCACAGGGGAAAUAUGUCCUCUUUCUGAUUGGCCUGACUUGGUGGAUAUUUCAAAAGUGAAGUUGGACUUAGACUUAGUUGGAUUACUCCGACAUUGCGUCACCACUGAAGAGAAGGAUCUUCACCCAGAGUCUGCUCUCCUGGAAAGAUCUUGAAGAGGAUUGUGCCUGUGAUCUAUGGAGGAAGGAGUUUUUCUGGAUCUGGCUGCUGGCAGCAUCAAUCUGGACUCACUUGGACCUCUAACAACAGAAGAUCCUGGCUCUAUUUGAUUUGGACUCCUGGUGUGAGAUUGGAAUAUUUGGGAAGGUAAAGUUUUAGUUUAAUAACAUAGUUCAGUUAGUUAUUAUCUUUUAAAUUAAAUAUAAGAAUAAGUAUGUUCCUAAACCCUUAUUCCUUUCCUACCCUUCCAAAAAAAUAAAGCAGAAUUCAUUUAUAUGUUUUCUUCUUGU
RNAcentral lists this long non-coding RNA (477 nucleotides) under Monodelphis domestica (gray short-tailed opossum). RNAcentral describes it as "lncRNA (ENSMODG00000030646.2)". The record is from RNAcentral. Lineage: Eukaryota; Metazoa; Chordata; Mammalia; Didelphimorphia; Didelphidae.